Molecule: ribosomal RNA, 489 nt
Filed under: uncultured bacterium
Lineage: Bacteria
Description: bacterial SSU rRNA
Rfam family: Bacterial small subunit ribosomal RNA
Source: RNAcentral
GGCUCAGGACGAACGCUUGCGGCGUGCCUAAGAAAUGCAAGUCGAGCGAAGUCCAGGGUGCUUGCACCCGAAGACUUAGCGGCGAACGGUCGCGUAACACGUAAGCAACCUGCCCUAAAGACGGGGAUAGCCCACCGAAAGGUGGAUUAAUACCGGAUGUGAACACUUAUUCGCAUGUAUUAGUGUUUAAAGCAGCGAUGCGCUUUAGGAUGGGCUUGCGGCCUAUCAGUUAGUUGGUGUGGUAACGGCUCACCAAGACGACGACGGGUAGCCGGUCUGAGAGGAUGACCGGCCGGAUCGGGACUGAGAUACGGCCCGGACUCCUACGGGGGGCAGCAAUUAGGAAUCUUGCGCAAUGGGCGAAAGCCUGACGCCAGCGACGCCGCGUGACUGAUGAAGUCCUUCGGGAUGUAAAAGUCUUUUCUCGGUGAAGAAGGAUGUGACUGUAGCCGAGGAAUAAGCUCCGGCUAACUACGUGCCAGCCGCCGC